RNAcentral lists this ribosomal RNA (543 nucleotides) under Chloroparvula japonica. RNAcentral describes it as "partial Bacterial large subunit ribosomal RNA". It matches the Rfam family "Bacterial large subunit ribosomal RNA", at positions 2369 to 2925 of the family's 2925-position model. The record is from RNAcentral. Lineage: Eukaryota; Viridiplantae; Chlorophyta; Chloropicophyceae; Chloropicales; Chloropicaceae.
GCUGUGAGGCCGACAGGCCGAGCAGAGACGAAAGUCGGUCAUAGUGAUCCGGUGGUCCCGCGUGGAAGGGCCAUCGCUCAACGGAUAAAAGGUACUCCGGGGAUAACAGGCUGAUACCGCCCAAGAGUUCACAUCGACGGCGGUGUUUGGCACCUCGAUGUCGGCUCAUCGCAUCCUGGGGCUGAAGGCGGUCCCAAGGGUUAGGCUGUUCGCCUAUUAAAGCGGUACGCGAGCUGGGUUCAGACCGGCGUGAGCCAGGUCGGUCCCUAUCUGCUGUGGGCGUUGCAAACUUGAGAGGAGUCAACUUUAGUACGAGAGGAUUAGGUUGGACUGACCCCUGGUGAUCCUGUUGGGCUGCUAAGCCCAUCGCAGGGUAGCUACGUCGGGCAGGGAUAACAGCUGAAAGCAUCUAAGCAGGAAGCCCCCCUCAAGAUCAGGUUUGCUUGUCUUGUACGUGAGACCCCUGGGAGACUACCAGGUUGAUAGGCCGCAGGUGUAAGGGUUGAGAAGCCCUCAGCUGAGCGGUACUAACGGUCGAAGGUU